GGGGGGACGGAGAAGGCUAGGUGGGCCUGGCGACGGUUGUCCAGGUUCAAGUGCGUAGGCUUAAGAGUUAGGUAAAUCCGGCUCUUUUUAAGGCUGAGACACGACGUCGAGCCACUACGGUGGUGAAGUCAUUGAUGCCAUGCUUCCAGGAAAAGCCUCUAAGCUUCAGAUUGUAAGGAAUCGUACCCCAAACCGACACAGGUGGUCGGGUAGAGAAUACCAAGGCGCUUGAGAGAACUCGGGUGAAGGAACUAGGCAAAAUGGUACCGUAACUUCGGGAGAAGGUACGCUCUCGACGGUGAAGUCCCUCGCGGAUGGAGCUAUUGAGAGUCGCAGAUACCAGGUGGCUGCAACUGUUUAUUAAAAACACAGCACUGUGCAAAAUCGUAAGAUGACGUAUACGGUGUGACGCCUGCCCGGUGCCGGAAGGUUAAUUGAUGGGGUUAGACUUCGGUCGAAGCUCUUGAUCGAAGCCCCGGUAAACGGCGGCCGUAACUAUAACGGUCCUAAGGUAGCGAAAUUCCUUGUCGGGUAAGUUCCGACCUGCACGAAUGGCGUAAUGAUGGCCACGCUGUCUCCACCCGAGACUCAGUGAAAUUGAAAUCGCUGUGAAGAUGCAGUGUACCCGCGGCUAGACGGAAAGACCCCGUGAACCUUUACUACAGCUUGGCACUGAACAUUGACCCUACAUGUGUAGGAUAGGUGGGAGGCUUUGAAGCACGUACGCCAGUAUGUGUGGAGCCGUCCUUGAAAUACCACCCUUGUAGUGUUGAUGUUCUAACGUUGACCCCUAAUCGGGGUUGCGGACAGUGCCUGGUGGGUAGUUUGACUGGGGCGGUCUCCUCCCAAAGAGUAACGGAGGAGCACGAAGGUGGGCUAAUCACGGUUGGACAUCGUGAGGUUAGUGCAAUGGCAUAAGCCCGCUUGACUGCGAGAAUGACAAUUCGAGCAGGUGCGAAAGCAGGUCAUAGUGAUCCGGUGGUUCUGAAUGGAAGGGCCAUCGCUCAACGGAUAAAAGGUACUCCGGGGAUAACAGGCUGAUACCGCCCAAGAGUUCAUAUCGACGGCGGUGUUUGGCACCUCGAUGUCGGCUCAUCACAUCCUGGGGCUGAAGUCGGUCCCAAGGGUAUGGCUGUUCGCCAUUUAAAGUGGUACGCGAGCUGGGUUUAGAACGUCGUGAGACAGUUCGGUCCCUAUCUGCCGUGGGCGUUGGAAGAUUGAAGGGGGCUGCUCCUAGUACGAGAGGACCGGAGUGGACGAACCUCUGGUGUUCGGGUUGUGUCGCCAGACGCAUUGCCCGGUAGCUAAGUUCGGAAUCGAUAACCGCUGAAAGCAUCUAAGCGGGAAGCGAGCCCUGAGAUGAGUCUUCCCUGAUACUUUAAGUAUCCUAAAGGGUUGUCGGAGACUACGACGUUGAUAGGUCAGGUGUGUAAGUGCUGUGAGGCAUUGAGCUAACUGAUACUAAUUGCCCGUGAGGCUUAACCAUACAACACCCAAGGGGUUU
RNAcentral lists this ribosomal RNA (1504 nucleotides) under Vibrio parahaemolyticus. Its description in RNAcentral is "partial 23S ribosomal RNA". It matches the Rfam family "Bacterial large subunit ribosomal RNA", at positions 1466 to 2925 of the family's 2925-position model. The record is from RNAcentral. Lineage: Bacteria; Pseudomonadati; Pseudomonadota; Gammaproteobacteria; Vibrionales; Vibrionaceae.